CAAUAGCGUAUAUUAAAGUUGUUGCAGUUAAAAAGCUCGUAGUUGGAUUUCUGGUAGGAGCGACCGUGCCGAACUUGAUUGUUCGAGUAUUGUGUUGUCUUCAGCCAUCCUCGUGGAGAACUUUUCUAACAUUAACUUGUUGGGAUUGGGACCCGCGUCGUUUACUGUGAAAAAAUUAGAGUGUUUAAAGCAGGCAUUAGCUUGAAUACAUUAGCAUGGAAUAAUAAGAUAGGACUUUGGUACUAUUUUGUUGGUUUGCAUACCAAAUUAAUGAUCAACAGGAACAGUUUGAGGAUAUUCGUAUGAACAUGUCAGAGGUGAAAUUCUUGGAUUUUGAUCAGACGAACUACUGCGAAAGCAUUUAUCAAGGAUGUUUUUAUUAA
RNAcentral lists this ribosomal RNA (383 nucleotides) under uncultured eukaryote. Its description in RNAcentral is "partial 18S ribosomal RNA". It matches the Rfam family "Eukaryotic small subunit ribosomal RNA", at positions 592 to 976 of the family's 1831-position model. The record is from RNAcentral.